Molecule: long non-coding RNA, 1222 nt
Organism: Mya arenaria
Lineage: Eukaryota; Metazoa; Mollusca; Bivalvia; Myida; Myidae
Exons: 4
Source: RefSeq, a predicted model, not a curated record
UGCACUAGGUACUCGAUCCCCUUCGUCACCUUUCUUGGGAUAAGCAUGACGGUUGCUGGAAUGCUCACUUCCGGUUUUGUACCCACCGUCCAGUACCUGUACCUGACAUAUGGCCUCGUUGUGGGGGUGGGGUGUUCCCUCUCCUAUACCGCCUGCAUACUUGUUGUCGGCCACUACUUUAAUACCAGACGAGGCAUUGCAAUUGGUGUUGCUGCAUCAGGGGUUGGAUUUGGAUGUUUUGCGUGGCCGCCAAUACUGCGUGCUUUAUUUGAAUAUUUUGGAUUUAGAGGAGCUUUCUUAUUAUUGGUGCCAUAUUCAGCAACGUUUACGUUUGUGGAAUGUUCUUCAUGCCUAUAAGUAAACGAAACCUAAGGACAAAGCCGCAUGAAGUAACCUCGGAUAAAGAUACGAACGAAACAACUGUAUCUCUGUUGCCACAACAGGAGAAGGGAAGUCAACAUUUGGCUGAAGCAGUAAGCUGCAAAACAGCACGAUGUUUUCACCGGACAAUACAACUGCAGAGACAGUACAUAUACCAACGUUUCAUUGAUACAACUGCAGAGACAGUACAUAUACCAACGUUUCAUUGAUUUAAGACUGUUUCGAAACUAUGCCUUCUUCACCGUGUGUGGACAAAUGGUGUUAUUUGCCCUUUCAUACAAUAUGACAUUUGUGUACCUACCAGCCUUGGCGAAGGACCAGGUCAUAUCGGAGAUAAAAGGAUCCUACUUGAUCUCAAUCACAGGAGUGUUUGACAUGAUUGCACGUAUAUCCAUGUCGGCAUUGCUAGACACUAAGCAUGUCAAACCGUAUCGAUUAAUAGCAUACAACAUGAUACUGUUUAUCAUCGCAGCUUUAACUGUUACCAUUCCGUCUCUUUAUAGUUUUGUGCAGUUUGCUGUCAUAUUUGCCAUGUUUGGUUUUGUUUCUGGAACGUAUAUAUCUCAAGUGGCACUGAUACUGGUGGACGUUUUGGGAAUCAGCAAUUUAGCGAGUGCAUUCGGUCUCAACCAGUUAUACUAUGGGCUUGGUAUGCUUCUUGGCCCAGUCAUCGGAGGAUUAAGAAGAGACUAUCUUGGUAAUUAAUACCUGUCGUUUUACUGCGGUUCUGCAUCGACAUUUGCAGCGGGUCUGCUGAUGAUGACAGGAAACAUUUGGCUGCGCAGGCGUGGGAACGGUUUAAAAUGGUUGUGUUUGAGCAGCAUUCUGCCAACGGCAUGAA